Molecule: non-coding RNA, 3934 nt
Organism: Macaca mulatta (Rhesus monkey)
Lineage: Eukaryota; Metazoa; Chordata; Mammalia; Primates; Cercopithecidae
Source: RefSeq, a predicted model, not a curated record
UCUGUUUACGUUCCAUCAGCUGGAGGAAGUCACACAGCAGAUGCCAGAGGACCAGCAUGGGAGGGCUGUUCUGCAACCAGGACACCUGCCGUGGUGCCCCACUUUCUCCAGGAAACAAGGACACCCGCACGGAGUGCCCGCGCGAGAGUCAGCAACCAGCCUCGGCUGUGGGGUUCCUGCAACGUGUGUUCCUGCCGGGGUUCUCCUUCCUGCCAUUCCGAGCUACGGUGGGGAUCACGCACCCCAUACGUGGAGCCCAGGGACAGCGCAGCCCAGGGAGUGCCCCCCCAGCCAGGAAGUCUGACCUUCAUAGAACGGGGAAGACCAUCUUCCACUUUACGCUGCCUGGGCGACUGUAAACGUGGAUUCCACCGUCUCAGACAGUAGACGAUUCCCAGUCUUACUGGGAGGAGCCUGUUGCUCAUCUAGAUGCUGUCUUGGAUGCAGUGAAGUCUGGCGAUGGCUGUUUCAGAAGCCGUUAGGAUGGUGAAGUGAGACAAUGUGAACGGGGUGUUUUGUGAGGCUCGGUGCUGCAUAAAUGCUAUAGCCAUCAUUUUAGAGCAAGAAUUGCUUGAAAUGUUUCUUUCUCUCAAAUUUAUGAAAAGAUUAGAAAAUAGUUCUAAAAAUUAAAAAUUGUUCUGGUCAGAGCGGCUUACAUGAUGGCAGUAAAAAUGUGCACAGAUUCAUGGUCCCACCGCGUGCAUUUGGUGUGGAGAGAACGAAAUGUGGAGGCCGGUGAUACCAAGAACACCCCGUGAGCCGCGCUGGGUGCAGCCUCCACGGCAGGCGAGCAGUGACACCGCAGUUUCCUCUCCUCCGGCGUCCACGCUUCCUGUGCCCACGUGCUGGAGGCUCACUCUUCACGCCCCCCUCUCAGUUACGUGUCUAUGGGGCUGAGACGGGGAAGGAAGUUGGUGAAGCUGGUUGGAUCUUCCCAGGGAUGUUCUGUGUGCAAGGCUCGGGGGCAAGGACGGCUGGGGGAGUCAGACCGUCAGAGAAGCUGAGGGGUGGAUGGAGCCUCACCAUGCCUGAGUCCCUGUUUUCCAGCUGCAGGUGCUGACCCUCCAGAGCUUUGUUUGCCAGCCCCUUGCAGCUGUGAUCUGGAGUCAGCCAGGCAUUCCUCCUUUUCCAAUAGAUUUUAUUAAGUGCUUGAUGUGUGCCAAGCCAAGUGUCUGACUUACUGCAUGCCCGAGAAGCCAUGCUGUUGCGGGAAUUUCCUCCGCAAACCUGAAGGAAUUGAACUUCAGGAAUGGCUGGAACCCUGGAGAGAGAGAACCAGGUUUCUGGAGGAAAAUCACUCCUUUUAAGGAAGCAGCAUCCUGGACCCUCGAGGCCCUGGAGGAAGUGGGCAGCACAGCUAGGAGUCAGGUGUGGCUGGAGGACAGCCGUCGCACCUGCGAAAUUCUGUCUGUGGUAUGUGGUUCCUUCCUGGCGCUGGGAACCACCUGACACUUGCAUUCUUCCCUUUUCCUUUCUAUUCUCUUUCAAGUCAUCCCCCUUGAGCCAGCCCUCCAGUCCAGGCCAAAUCCCAGCCUGCCCUCGGUCCGCUGUUGUUGGGCCUGCACCCGAGCCAUGAGCACACACAGUGAUUGUGGCAGCAGAAGCUUCUUCUGGGCUCAGACUUAGGCUGAUGCUGCGCGUCAGGACCUGCCGCAGUCUCGCUGGGCUUCCUGGGACUCACUGGUUGUGGGCUGGGAUUGUAAAGCAUGGAAUGACUCUGGAAGCUGGGCGUCAUUCCUUGUGGUUUUCCAAGCUUGGUCUCUGAUGUGACUCCAGGUCUUAGGAGACAUGCUGAAUAUUUAUUAUGCUUACAUUCAAGCAACAUUAACCCUCAAGGUUGACCUAGCUCCCCGACCUUUUUUCUCAGAAGGAAGAGCACUGACGGGACAUUUUUCCAGUAUGGAUUCCUCCCAACUCUGAGAAGUUGGAGACACACGGAUUCCUCAGCCAGCUCCCAUCUACGGACGUGCUGUAGUCACAAGGACUGUGACUAAGGCUCAGUCCCUGAGGAGCACCUUGGCAUGGGCUGCUUUAGGCCGUACAGACCCAGUUUUAUCCACUUUAUGUGAAGAAAGCCAACAAGGGACAUGGAGUGUGUUCUGCAGGUGUUAGCGGCUGCGGUGGCUGGUGCUCCGUGGGGAUGACGGAGGGAAGGCUCCUCCCUCUGUGGGCCCCAAUGUCUGUGCUGGAAUCAGCUCUGCAGCUGUGUCUGGGGCAGCCAGAGACCACACACGGCAGGCUCACAGCUCUGUUCCACGAGAACUUUGUACACAAAAGCAGAUGGGCUGGGCUUGACCUCUGCAUCAUAAUCUGCUGACCCCUGGGUAAGAGAUUUUAAAUAUUUACUUAAUUCUAUUCAACAGAAGGGGUGAUAUACUGAGGAGUGAAUAAUGGGAAAGACCUGAUUCAGCUGUAUCAGGAAGGACUGGUGUAAAUUCAACUUAUUAACUGAAAUCACAAUAUUCAAUGUAUUAUGCCUUUAGGGGUAAAAGUGGGUCACACAUGAGCAGCAUGCGCUUCACUGGCCAGGCAGGACACCUCGGCGUUUAGAUAAACGGUUCCGACGCUUACCCAGGUUGGAGGCUGUUAGUAGUGAAGUGUCUGGAGUUCUGGAUACUUUUCUGGCUUUGCUAUAUUUGUGUGAGCUUGUGCACAGUUAGAGGUUUGGGCUAAAUUUGGGUAGAAAUGGGUGGUUCACAGGAUGCAAAAGUUCUGUGGACCCUUUUUUUCCCCAGUUGAUUAAUGUUGUAAAGAUUAGAAUAUUGUUACACAAAAAUCUGGAUUUUUAGUUUCUUUCACAUUGGAAUAGCUGCCAACAUCGUGCCUGCAUUCAUCUCUCUAGGGUAACGCUGGCUGCAGUGGAGACGGCUGCCCCCCAGUGGGGCGUGUGUACUCAGCCCGUAGCCCCCGCCCUCCGGACUCCAUUUGCCUCCUCUGUCAGGUUUGCACCUCAUCAUUGGCUUCUAAUUUUGUGUCCCUGGACUGCAAGACCUACAAGUCUCCCAGCACAACCAGAUUCUAUGAUUCUAUUCAAAAAGAAGCCAGUGAGGCUAGCGUAUCACCGUGUUGAUGAAUUCACAGGAUUAACUCUGGGAGCUGGGGGCAGUUUGUAUUCUUCCUCCAGAUACUCUCUGCUUCUCCUGGCUGGAAAGGUUCUGCUACUCAUCCCGUGGUCAGGCCCAGCCAAUGGAACGGGAACCGAAGUGACUCUGCCCCUUACUGGCAGAAACUUUAAAAGCCGCACAACGUUCCUGCACCCUCCCCCUCUGCCACGAGCCUGGCAGUGCUCAGGAUGGUACAAUUAUUUCACCUGGGCCUGAGGAUACGGGAGCUACUCCCAGCCUGCAGUGGAACAGAAGCAUGGACAGGUGAUUAAGCUUUGCGUUUUCGAGCUACAGAGGUUUUGAGGUUGUUCGCUACCAUGCUUUGUCCCUACAAACCCAGUCAUGGAGAAGGCCAGUGGCAGAGCCUGAGCCGCUCGCACAUCUGUUCACCAGUAUCCAGAAUAGCAAUAGAUUUUUAAAACAUUCCUGAGAAAAUUCUGGGAGUUGCAUAUUGGCCAGUCUUAUUCUCUAAAGUUGCUCCUUCUAAAGGGUGGGAUGACUGAAAAUUUCAGAAAAGCAAACCAUUGCUGAAAGGCAACAUUAUUUCUGUUGGCAGAAGGCGGCUUGAGCAAUCUAGAUUUUCCACGGUUCACCAAUUACUUUUUGAGGAAAUAUGGCCAUGAGAUGAAUCGAACAUGAUUCCUACCUUUAAGGAACUCAGAGAAGUGAAUUAAAGGAAGUCACAGAUCAGACAACCAACCACACAAAGUUUCUAGGAGCAAACUUUGUUACGUUCGGCAAGUCACUCUUACCCGCUGUUUUGCCUUCUGAGGUUUCAGUUACUCUCCGUCAAUCACAGUCCAAAAACAUUCAAUGAAAAAUUCCAGAAA